Molecule: ribosomal RNA, 253 nt
Filed under: uncultured bacterium
Lineage: Bacteria
Description: partial 16S ribosomal RNA
Rfam family: Bacterial small subunit ribosomal RNA
Source: RNAcentral
UACGAGAGGCCCAAACGUUAUUCGGAAUUACUGGGCUUAAAGAGUUCGUAGGCGGCAUGAAAAGUAGGGUGUGAAAGCCCUCGGCUCAACCGAGGAAUUGCGCUCUAAACUGUCGUGCUAGAGGAAGCUAGAGGUGAGCGGAACUGAUGGUGGAGCGGUGAAAUGCGUUGAUAUCAUCAGGAACACCGGAGGCGAAGGCGGCUCACUGGGGCUUUUCUGACGCUGAGGAACGAAAGCGUGGGGAGCAAACAGG